Lathyrus oleraceus (garden pea) is the source of this 1021-nucleotide long non-coding RNA. RefSeq lists it as uncharacterized. NCBI's taxonomy places the organism in Eukaryota, Viridiplantae, Streptophyta, Magnoliopsida, Fabales, Fabaceae. The transcript has 2 exons. The record is from RefSeq and is a predicted model, not a curated record.
UUUCAAUACAAAAAAUAACUUGAUACAUGUUACCAGAUGAUAAACAAGUUUUUCACGUGAUUUAAAACACUGUCUCUAUUAAAUCGUUGUAUAAUGGAUUUAGUCAUGCGAAUGAUCUUGCGUGAGGAGUUUGCCAAAUCUUGAUUUCAAAGACAUGACUUUUGCCGCACGCCGAUCACGCAGAAGUAGAGACGCCGGUCAUGGGAGCAUCCUUAGUUAGACACAGCACAAUUGAUGCGGAUACCUGGAGGCGAGCUUGGGCGAUCACUUAUGUAUUUCAUCAACUGAUGUGGUCAAGCGUGGUGUCCUAUUCCGUUAUUAUCUCUAGAUUUUUACAAUACUUUACUUUUAUUGUUUGUGAUAUUUGCUACUAGAUACAAAUCACACCAUAAGCCUCAUAUAUAUCAUGUUGGAGCCUUAUGCCAUUGUUGGCCUAACUAGGCGAUGCUUCACAUCUUCUAAUUUUAUGCAUGUUGCACCAUUACAAAAUUUCAGCAAACAUUUUUUAUUAGUUGAUUUUAAUUCUAUUAGUUUGUCAAUUGCGAUCCUAUUAAUAUAUUGACUCAAAAUUAAAUUAAUAUAAACAUGUGUACCUCUUAACAAGUAACACAUGGGUGAAGGAGAAACCACCAAGCUUGGUGAUGGUCACACUGCACUAAAAAUGAGACUCCCAUGGAGGCAAUGCCACUUGCAGCAGCGACAUGGAUCAGAAUAAUUGUAUUAUUCAUGAUGAGUCCUCAUUAUCACCGUCAACAAAAACGCCAUGUGGAUUGAAUUUGAGGCCUAGAAUGGUGCUCAUUAAGAAGUACAAUCAAGAGAAUUUGUUUGUCUAAAUGAAAACAAAAGACUUUGUUUGUGUUUUUUUUUUUAAAUUAGUGGAUGAUCUCUCAAUUUUGGGAUCAGGGUAUUUAGAUGAGACAUUUUAGGUUUUGCUGGAAGUGAUUUUCCUUAAUUCCCUAUAUGGAGAUGUCGUAGUGGAAAAGAUUGAUUCUUCCCUGAAUCGUGUAAAGGGGGGAGGGGG